UAAGGAAUAUUGGUCAAUGGACGCAAGUCUGAACCAGCCAUGCCGCGUGGAGGAUUAAGGCCCUCUGGGUUGUAAACUCCUUUUAUCUGGGAAGAAAUGUACUUUUUCUUGAGUACUUGACGGUACCAGAGGAAUAAGCACCAGCUAACUCCGUGCCAGCAGCCGCGGUAAUACGGAGGGUGCAAGCGUUAUCCGGAUUCACUGGGUUUAAAGGGUGCGUAGGUGGGCAGGUAAGUCAGUGGUGAAAUCUCCGGGCUUAACCCGGAAACUGCCGUUGAUACUAUUUGUCUUGAAUAUUGUGGAGGUAAGCGGAAUAUGUCAUGUAGCGGUGAAAUGCUUAGAUAUGACAUAGAACACCAAUUGCGAAGGCAGCUUACUACACAAUCAUUGACGCUGAGGCACGAAAGCGUGGGGAUCAAACA
This 422-nucleotide ribosomal RNA is filed under the name uncultured bacterium. Its description in RNAcentral is "bacterial SSU rRNA". It matches the Rfam family "Bacterial small subunit ribosomal RNA", at positions 355 to 774 of the family's 1533-position model. The record is from RNAcentral.